CCUACGGGCGGCAGCAGUGGGGAAUAUUGGACAAUGGGGGCAACCCUGAUCCAGCCAUGCCGCGUGUGUGAAGAAGGCCCUCGGGUUGUAAAGCACUUUCAGUGAGGAAGAACGCCUGGUGGUUAAUACCCAUCAGGAAAGACAUCACUCACAGAAGAAGCACCGGCUAACUCCGUGCCAGCAGCCGCGGUAAUACGGAGGGUGCGAGCGUUAAUCGGAAUUACUGGGCGUAAAGCGCGCGUAGGUGGCUUGAUGAGCCGGUUGUGAAAGCCCCGGGCUCAACCUGGGAACGGCAUCCGGAACUGUCAAGCUAGAGUGCAGGAGAGGAAGGUAGAAUUCCCGGUGUAGCGGUGAAAUGCGUAGAGAUCGGGAGGAAUACCAGUGGCGAAGGCGGCCUUCUGGACUGACACUGACACUGAGGUGUGAAAGCGUGGGUAGCAAACAGGAUUAGAUACCCCUGUAGUC
This 465-nucleotide ribosomal RNA is filed under the name Vreelandella stevensii. RNAcentral's name for it is "partial 16S ribosomal RNA". It matches the Rfam family "Bacterial small subunit ribosomal RNA", at positions 338 to 795 of the family's 1533-position model. Lineage: Bacteria; Pseudomonadati; Pseudomonadota; Gammaproteobacteria; Oceanospirillales; Halomonadaceae. The record is from RNAcentral.